UACGAAGGGGGCUAGCGUUGCUUGGAAUCACUGGGCGUAAAGCGCACGUAGGCGGCUUUCUAAGUCAGGGGUGAAAUCCUGGAGCUCAACUCCAGAACUGCCUUUGAUACUGGAGAGCUUGAGUCCGGAAGAGGUGAGUGGAACUCCGAGUGUAGAGGUGAAAUUCGUAGAUAUUCGGAAGAACACCAGUGGCGAAGGCGGCUCACUGGUCCGGUACUGACGCUGAGGUGCGAAAGCGUGGGGAGCAAACAGG
RNAcentral lists this ribosomal RNA (253 nucleotides) under uncultured bacterium. RNAcentral describes it as "partial 16S ribosomal RNA". It matches the Rfam family "Bacterial small subunit ribosomal RNA", at positions 524 to 776 of the family's 1533-position model. The record is from RNAcentral.